CCUCUGCCGUUAUUAUGAAAAAAUGGGUUCGCUAAUCCUUUCCCCGUCUCCUCUCGCGUGAAGCGCAGCAAGGGGCCGACGGGAGAUCUAGGGUUUCGCCGCAGGCUCCCCUUCGGCCGGCCGGCCGCCGCCUGUCCGGCCCCGCUCGGCGCCGCCCCUGUUGGUCCCCGCCCGUCACUGCCCAGCGCCGCCCCACCCGACCCCGCCGCCACCCGACGCCGCCCCUGCUCGUCCCGCCCGACGACGCCGCCCCUGUUCCCGUUUCUCUCCGGCCAUCUUCCCACAGGCCACACUGUCUCUCCCUCUCCCUCCGCCUGCAGCUGUCGCACGCCAUUUUCCUCUCCCUCCGACCGUCGAUAGCUACCGGGGCUGCGGGGCCCCGCAGGGGCCGGAGGCGGGGCCGUUCCUAGAGGCCCCACCUGCGCCGGCGCCGCCGCAGCAGCAGCAACGAUGAGCAAGAGCGGCGGCGCGGCGGCGGGGCCGACGGCGGCGGCCGCGGCAGCCGCGGUGCAGAAGCAGAAGACGCUUCUCCAGAAGGCUGACGCCGACGUCUCCAGCCUCGUUGACAACUUCGCCGCCCUCAUCAACAUCGCGCGCGUCAACGACCCGCCGGUGCGCAACACGCAGGAGGCCUUCCAGAUGGACAUGCGCGGCUCCCGCAUGGUACAUUCAGCUGAUUCUCUGUUGAAACUAGUGUCAGAGCUUAAGAGAACAGCUAUCUUUUCUGGGCUUGCUUCUUUAACUGAAAAUGUGGAUAGGCGGAUUGAAAUCUUUAGUCAACAAGUUGAAGGAACAGAGAGAAUGCUGGAGAGGAUUGGGCAGGAAGCAGCAGGAAGCCUCAAAGAGUUGGAGGCACAUUACUACUCAUCUGUUGUGCGAACACCACCGGAUGAAUGAGCACCCGUCUACGUGGCUUAAGAACAAAAAAUGGUGCAAAAUUUCAAGAAAAUUAGUCCAUUACUGCUACAAAACCAAAGGCAAGAAUGGCCACAAGACAGCAAAUCAAGAACCAAUCUUUCUUCAGAAAGCAGCCGCAAGGAAGAGAAGAAGAAGGAGGCGGCUGUACGGUUGCCGCGAGGCCAGAGCUAAUGCCGGCUCAGGCAACCAUCCUCCUCACGAACAGAAUUAUGCAAAAACAGCAGAUUUGUACCCAUGACAAUUAAGUACCGAUUCUCAGGAACUCCAUUAGGGCUUGUUCGGUUGGGCCAUUCCUGGCUGGGAUCGGGGCCCAAUCCCCAUGGAAAAUCCCGGCGUGGAAAGGAUACCGGCCCACGCAAGUAUAGGCGUUCGGUUAAGCCGAGGCGAGAUUUUAUCCCGGCCCACCCCGGUGUUUUCCCCUCGUCAUCGGCCGGGAAAUAUUCAGCUUCUUUGGUGGCGAGGAAAAAAUCCUCUUGACGCGGCGACACAACGAGAGGGGGCGCUGCGGCGGGGACGGCUGCACGGCGCGGUGCGACUCCGACGCGACGGCGACGGCACGCUCUCUCCUCCGGCAGUUGACUCCUCCGGUGGCCACCUUCUUCCCGGCUUUGGGAGGAAGUCUGAGAGGAUGGUGGUUCAGAUACAGAGUGAAUGAGCAGACAUGUACAAGAUGAUGGCUUUUUGCAGGAGCAACAAAUGUUGAUCUCUGAACCAUUGUAUAUUGCUGAUGUAACCAUUUGGUCAAGGAGUCCUGGUGUGGCAGCUCACAUUUAUUUUUAUAGCUCAAGUGAAUCAUGACAUAGUUUCAUCUUUUUCUUUUUUUAUUGUCAAAUUUCACUACUAUGACUGUAUUUAGUUGUCUCUGUAUUGUCAAGUGACCUCAAGCUUUGUUGGGUGAUGCCUCCUUGCCUUAAACCGGAUACAGGCCUUGAUGAUACUGCAAUAUUUUUGUUUUAAUGAUUAAUCAAUGUGGUUUUCGCGUAA
RNA transcript from Oryza sativa Japonica Group (Japanese rice), 1902 nucleotides. It is a transcript of the gene named mediator of RNA polymerase II transcription subunit 22a, with no coding region annotated. The record is from RefSeq and is marked validated. NCBI's taxonomy places the organism in Eukaryota, Viridiplantae, Streptophyta, Magnoliopsida, Poales, Poaceae.